AGCGAACGCUGGCGGCAGGCUUAACACAUGCAAGUCGAACGCCCCGCAAGGGGAGUGGCAGACGGGUGAGUAACACGUGGGAACGUACCCUUUGGUUCCGAAUCACUUGGGGAAACUCAAGCUAAUACCGGAUAAGCCCUUAGGGGGAAAGGUUUACUGCCGAAGGAUCGGCCCGCGUCUGAUUAGCUAGUUGGUGAGGUAAUGGCUCACCAAGGCGACGAUCAGUAGCUGGUCUGAGAGGAUGAUCAGCCACACUGGGACUGAGACACGGCCCAGACUCCUACGGGAGGCAGCAGUGGGGAAUAUUGGACAAUGGGGGCAACCCUGAUCCAGCCAUGCCGCGUGAGCGAUGAGGGCCUUAGGGUUGUAAAGCUCUUUUACCCGGGACGAUAAUGACUGUACCGGGAGAAUAAGCCCCGGCUAACUUCGUGCCAGCCGCCGCGGUAA
RNAcentral lists this ribosomal RNA (447 nucleotides) under uncultured bacterium. Its description in RNAcentral is "partial 16S ribosomal RNA". It matches the Rfam family "Bacterial small subunit ribosomal RNA", at positions 29 to 523 of the family's 1533-position model. The record is from RNAcentral.